RNAcentral lists this ribosomal RNA (367 nucleotides) under Desulfovibrio sp. BBD-15. Its description in RNAcentral is "partial 16S ribosomal RNA". It matches the Rfam family "Bacterial small subunit ribosomal RNA", at positions 254 to 610 of the family's 1533-position model. The record is from RNAcentral. Lineage: Bacteria; Pseudomonadati; Thermodesulfobacteriota; Desulfovibrionia; Desulfovibrionales; Desulfovibrionaceae.
GGGGUAACGGCCUNCCGUGNCAACGAUGAAUAGCAGGCCUGAGAGGGUGGCCUGCCACACUGGGNUUGGANCUCGGCCCAGACUCCUACGGGAGGCAGCAGUGGGGAAUAUUGCGCAAUGGACGAAAGUCUGACGCAGCGNCGCCGCGUGGAGGAUGAAGGUUUUNGGAUCGUAAACUCCUGUCNAUAAGGGAAGNANCCUAUUAUGAAUAAUACUCAUAGUAAUUGACGGUACCUCUAGAGGAAGCACCGGCUAAUUCAGUGCCAGCAGCCGCGGUAAUACUGAAGGUGCAAGCGUUAUUCGGAAUCUGCUGGGCGUAAAGCGCUCGUAGGUGGCUUUGUAAGUCAGGUGUGAAAGCCCACGGCUC